This 428-nucleotide ribosomal RNA is filed under the name uncultured bacterium. RNAcentral's name for it is "bacterial SSU rRNA". It matches the Rfam family "Bacterial small subunit ribosomal RNA", at positions 8 to 436 of the family's 1533-position model. The record is from RNAcentral.
AGAGUUUGAUCCUGGCUCAGAUUGAACGCUGGCGGCAUGCCUUACACAUGCAAGUCGAACGGCAGCACGGGGGCAACCCUGGUGGCGAGUGGCGAACGGGUGAGUAAUACAUCGGAACGUGUCCUGUAGUGGGGGAUAGCCCGGCGAAAGCCGGAUUAAUACCGCAUACGAUCUACGGAAGAAAGCGGGGGAUCCUUCGGGACCUCGCGCUAUAGGGGCGGCCGAUGGCAGAUUAGCUAGUUGGUGGGGUAAAGGCCUACCAAGGCGACGAUCUGUAGCUGGUCUGAGAGGACGACCAGCCACACUGGGACUGAGACACGGCCCAGACUCCUACGGGAGGCAGCAGUGGGGAAUUUUGGACAAUGGGGGAAACCCUGAUCCAGCAAUGCCGCGUGUGUGAAGAAGGCCUUCGGGUUGUAAAGCACUUU